GACGAACGCUGGCGGCGUGCUUAACACAUGCAAGUCGAACGGAAAGGCCCUGCUUUUGUGGGGUGCUCGAGUGGCGAACGGGUGAGUAACACGUGAGUAACCUGCCCUUGACUUUGGGAUAACUUCAGGAAACUGGGGCUAAUACCGGAUAGGAGCUCCUGCUGCAUGGUGGGGGUUGGAAAGUUUCGGCGGUUGGGGAUGGACUCGCGGCUUAUCAGCUUGUUGGUGGGGUAGUGGCUUACCAAGGCUGUGACGGGUAGCCGGCCUGAGAGGGUGACCGGCCACAUUGGGACUGAGAUACGGACCAGACUCCUACGGGAGGCAGCAGUGGGGAAUAUUGCACAAUGGGCGGAAGCCUGAUGCAGCAACGCCGCGUGCGGGAUGACGGCCUUCGGGUUGUAAACCGCUUUCGCCUGUGACGAAGCGUGAGUGACGGUAAUGGGUAAAGAAGCACCGGCUAACUACGUG
Molecule: ribosomal RNA, 468 nt
Filed under: uncultured bacterium
Lineage: Bacteria
Description: partial 16S ribosomal RNA
Rfam family: Bacterial small subunit ribosomal RNA
Source: RNAcentral